RNAcentral lists this ribosomal RNA (1436 nucleotides) under uncultured organism. RNAcentral describes it as "16S ribosomal RNA". It matches the Rfam family "Bacterial small subunit ribosomal RNA". The record is from RNAcentral.
CUGGCGGCGUGCUUAACACAUGCAAGUCGAACGGAAAGGCCCUGCUUUUGUGGGGUGCUCGAGUGGCGAACGGGUGAGUAACACGUGAGUAACCUGCCCUUGACUUUGGGAUAACUUCAGGAAACUGGGGCUAAUACCGGAUAGGAGCUCCUGCUGCAUGGUGGGGGUUGGAAAGUUUCGGCGGUUGGGGAUGGACUCGCGGCUUAUCAGCUUGUUGGUGGGGUAGUGGCUUACCAAGGCUUUGACGGGUAGCCGGCCUGAGAGGGUGACCGGCCACAUUGGGGCUGAGAUACGGCCCAGACUCCUACGGGAGGCAGCAGUGGGGAAUAUUGCACAAUGGGCGGAAGCCUGAUGCAGCAACGCCGCGUGCGGGAUGACGGCCUUCGGGUUGUAAACCGCUUUCGCCUGUGACGAAGCGUGAGUGACGGUAAUGGGUAAAGAAGCACCGGCUAACUACGUGCCAGCAGCCGCGGUGAUACGUAGGGUGCGAGCGUUGUCCGGAUUUAUUGGGCGUAAAGGGCUCGUAGGUGGUUGAUCGCGUCGGAAGUGUAAUCUUGGGGCUUAACCCUGAGCGUGCUUUCGAUACGGGUUGACUUGAGGAAGGUAGGGGAGAAUGGAAUUCCUGGUGGAGCGGUGGAAUGCGCAGAUAUCAGGAGGAACACCAGUGGCGAAGGCGGUUCUCUGGGCCUUUCCUGACGCUGAGGAGCGAAAGCGUGGGGAGCGAACAGGCUUAGAUACCCUGGUAGUCCACGCUGUAAACGGUGGGUACUAGGUGUGGGGUCCAUUCCACGGGUUCCGUGCCGUAGCUAACGCUUUAAGUACCCCGCCUGGGGAGUACGGCCGCAAGGCUAAAACUCAAAGGAAUUGACGGGGCCCCGCACAAGCGGCGGAGCAUGCGGAUUAAUUCGAUGCAACGCGUAGAACCUUACCUGGGUUUGACAUGGAUCGGGAGUGCUCAGAGAUGGGUGUGCCUCUUUUGGGGUCGGUUCACAGGUGGUGCAUGGCUGUCGUCAGCUCGUGUCGUGAGAUGUUGGGUUAAGUCCCGCAACGAGCGCAACCCUUGUUCACUGUUGCCAGCACGUUAUGGUGGGGACUCAGUGGAGACCGCCGGGGUCAACUCGGAGGAAGGUGGGGAUGACGUCAAGUCAUCAUGCCCCUUAUGUCCAGGGCUUCACGCAUGCUACAAUGGCUGGUACAGAGAGUGGCGAGCCUGUGAGGGUGAGCGAAUCUCGGAAAGCCGGUCUCAGUUCGGAUUGGGGUCUGCAACUCGACCUCAUGAAGUCGGAGUCGCUAGUAAUCGCAGAUCAGCAACGCUGCGGUGAAUACGUUCCCGGGGCUUGUACACACCGCCCGUCAAGUCAUGAAAGUUGGUAACACCCGAAGCCGGUGGCCUAACCGUUGUGGGGGAGCCGUCGAAGGUGGGACUGGUGAUUAGG